GGAGUUAGCCGGUGCUUCUUCUGCGAGUAACGUCACAGAUGUAAGGUAUUAACUUACACCCUUUCCUCCUCGCUGAAAGUGCUUUACAACCCGAAGGCCUUCUUCACACACGCGGCAUGGCUGCAUCAGGGUUUCCCCCAUUGUGCAAUAUUCCCCACUGCUGCCUCCCGUAGGAGUCUGGGCCGUGUCUCAGUCCCAGUGUGGCUGAUCAUCCUCUCAGACCAGCUAGGGAUCGUCGCCUAGGUGAGCCUUUACCUCACCUACUAGCUAAUCCCACCUGGGCUUAUCCAUCAGCGCAAGGCCCGAAGGUCCCCUGCUUUCCCCCGUAGGGCGUAUGCGGUAUUAGCAGUCGUUUCCAACUGUUAUCCCCCACAAAUGGGCAAAUUCCCAGGCAUUACUCACCCGUCCGCCGCUCGUCAUCUUCAAAAGCAAGCUUUUGAAACUGUUACCGCUCGACUUGCAUGUGUUAGGCCUGCCGCCAGCGUUCAAUCUAAGCCAGAAUCGAACCCUGA
This 512-nucleotide ribosomal RNA is filed under the name uncultured bacterium. RNAcentral's name for it is "partial 16S ribosomal RNA". The record is from RNAcentral.